This 535-nucleotide long non-coding RNA is filed under the name Oncorhynchus mykiss (rainbow trout). RNAcentral describes it as "lncRNA (ENSOMYG00000058702.1)". Lineage: Eukaryota; Metazoa; Chordata; Actinopteri; Salmoniformes; Salmonidae. The record is from RNAcentral.
AUGACUCUUUCUGUGGAUGUGUAUAAAACAACUAUAGGGAUAAAAAAAAAAGUAACAAAAUGUCCCUUCUCUGAAGAGCCCAUGUUAAAUAACCAUCAAGAAUGGGAAGGAGAGUGGAUAGUGUCUCGUCUGCUGGCCAAGGUCUACGAUAAUGGAACACAUAUAAACACACACACACACACACACAGCAGACCCAGCAUUGCUCAGGACAGCCAAUAAGGAUGAAGACAGCACGACAGGGAUGAUGACCUCACUUUGCGGUACACACAAGACAUAGGAACCGAAUGCGUGUUUUCUUGCCUUUGUUUCCCUCUCUGUAUAGCUAACACUUGUAUAUUGUGAUGACGAGUAUGUGUCCGAGUUUGUAAGCAGUAACUUUCUGACAACUAUUGUACUAAAAAUGCACUCAAUAAACGCCUUGGAAAAAGAGUAAAUCGCCGGCGGUCCCAGACUCUGUGAAAGAUUAUGAUUAUUCUUGUUUUUUCCCACUUCAAUAACACAACAGAGACGUCUGAGAAGCUUUGGUGAAUAAUGC